This 160-nucleotide non-coding RNA is filed under the name Spirochaetes bacterium GWF1_41_5. RNAcentral describes it as "6S RNA". It matches the Rfam family "6S / SsrS RNA". From Rfam's summary of the family: E. coli 6S RNA was the first non coding RNA to be sequenced, but its function was unknown until recently. It consists of 184 nucleotides that fold into an extended hairpin structure with a large single-stranded internal bulge. The record is from RNAcentral. Lineage: Bacteria; Pseudomonadati; Spirochaetota.
GGCAUUCUGCACUGUUCGCCACAAUGCUUGAUUUUUGAUCCUUAUAGGUACACAUUCCGGGAAUCCGAUAUUUAUUGAUCCUGCGGGAUCAAUGUGAGGAUACCCCCCUUUUUAAAAAGGCGGACCAAAAACAGCAUCUUAACGGCAGAGGCGGGUGCCU